Molecule: long non-coding RNA, 1100 nt
Organism: Drosophila miranda
Lineage: Eukaryota; Metazoa; Arthropoda; Insecta; Diptera; Drosophilidae
Exons: 4
Source: RefSeq, a predicted model, not a curated record
UCUUCUUGCAGAUCCAUGCCAUUUUUCCUCUAGCCUUAAAAUAAAUAACGAUAUCUUUCACCUGAGCUGCGCUACAAUAAUAAUAAUUUAAUUUUCAUUAUUUUCGGUGGAAUAUAUUAUAAUAUUGUCGGAUCGAUACUACAUCCACGAUCGCGUGCAUCGUGCCAGCAGCUGGUACUUUCUUUAUUUACCUGCAAAUUUUACAACGUACGACGUACGUGCUUCUCAGGAGCGCACAUUUCCGCAUCGUCUUUCUUCCUUCACCAUGUUUUACCUCAUCGGCUUUGACCGGCUCUAUUGGCAGAGACCCUCUUUGGCCACAAUCUUAGCAGUGCCGCAGGGGAUCGGAGAUCUGAUCCCGCCAGCGGGUCACUACUUUCGGUAGCCAGGAAUAACUCUUGCGUGCCCGCAGAUAACGAUAUGCCCACCAUUGAUUACCAGGGGUUUAACCUUUCUGGUCUUCCGAUUCAUAUGAGAGAGUGGUCCUUGAUGCCAUGGGCCCCUCGUGACAUGAUUCCUGUCGCGCGAGGCUGGGGCCUCUGGCCUGGGUGACCUUUGGGUGCGGCCACUGCCAUGGCCUUCUCUCCGCCUUUCCGCCGUAGCUCCUCGUCCUCUCGGGAGUUCUAAGGGAUGCGCUCCUGGCUGGAUUGUGGCAGCCAUGAUGCCGCUGCUGUGUCGCUGUGUCGACAAUGUGGCGUCCCGUCCGCUGCAGCAGGUACCAGAGAUCGACGGGAACCACGGAAAAUAAUGUCGCCAACACUCCAUACAUGCGUCGCCGAAUCCAGCGCUGGGCUUCAGCUUCGAUACGUAAACCGAGUCGUAUCCGAUUUCCCACCGCCAGACGGAGCCCUGUCCAGCAUUACCGAGGCGUAUUAGAGACGGACCGAGUCCCAUCCCAGCCAGACAGAAUCGUAUCCAGCAUGAUAGAAUCGCAUAGAAGUCAUCGUCAUCCUUUUAAAUGGCCACCAAGGACUUUGACUAUGGCAACUAAGGGAGCGGCUACGCGGGCUACUAGGUUCUAGAUAGAUCUCAUCAUUGUUAGAUUUAAGGAUAUACAAGUCUAUAGUAGAUGUAUAUGAUGUAUAGAUAUAUGUAUAUAU